This 599-nucleotide unclassified non-coding RNA is filed under the name Hevea brasiliensis (rubber tree). The record is from RNAcentral. Lineage: Eukaryota; Viridiplantae; Streptophyta; Magnoliopsida; Malpighiales; Euphorbiaceae.
AGGAUACUUGACUUCUUCUCACACCACCCAGAGAGCCUGCAUAUGUUCACUUUUCUCUUUGACGAUAUUGGUAUUCCACAGGAUUACAGACACAUGGAUGGCUCCGGUGUUAACACCUAUACUUUGAUCAGCAAAGCUGGGAAGGCACAUUAUGUGAAAUUCCAUUGGAAACCAACUUGUGGGGUUAAGAGUUUGUUGGAAGAUGAGGCCAUAAGAGUUGGUGGAUCUAACCACAGUCAUGCUACACAGGACCUCUAUGACUCGAUUGCAGCUGGAAACUACCCUGAGUGGAAGCUUUUCAUUCAGACAAUUGAUCCUGCUGAUGAAGACAAGUUUGACUUUGAUCCACUUGAUGUGACCAAGACGUGGCCUGAAGACAUCUUGCCCUUGCAGCCUGUGGGUCGCUUGGUUUUGAACAGGAAUAUCGAUAACUUCUUUGCUGAGAAUGAGCAACUUGCGUUCUGCCCCUCUAUUGUGGUGCCUGGUGUCUAUUAUUCAGAUGAUAAGUUGCUGCAAACUAGAAUUUUCUCCUACUCUGAUACUCAGAGGUAUCGCCUUGGCCCAAAUUAUCUGCAGCUUCCAGCAAAUGCUCCCAAGUG